GGUAACCAGGUCUUCGGAUGCUGACGAGUGGCGAACGGGUGCCUUUAUACAUCGGAACGUGCCUAGUAGUGGGGGAUAACUACUCGAAAGAGUAGCUAAUACCGCAUGAGAUCUACGGAUGAAAGCAGGGGACCUUCGGGCCUUGUGCUACUAGAGCGGCUGAUGGCAGAUUAGGUAGUUGGUGGGGUAAAGGCUUACCAAGCCUGCGAUCUGUAGCUGGUCUGAGAGGACGACCAGCCACACUGGGACUGAGACACGGCCCAGACUCCUACGGGAGGCAGCAGUGGGGAAUUUUGGACAAUGGGCGAAAGCCUGAUCCAGCAAUGCCGCGUGCAGGAUGAAGG
This 344-nucleotide ribosomal RNA is filed under the name Comamonas testosteroni. Its description in RNAcentral is "bacterial SSU rRNA". It matches the Rfam family "Bacterial small subunit ribosomal RNA", at positions 68 to 414 of the family's 1533-position model. The record is from RNAcentral. Lineage: Bacteria; Pseudomonadati; Pseudomonadota; Betaproteobacteria; Burkholderiales; Comamonadaceae.